Molecule: unclassified non-coding RNA, 1296 nt
Filed under: Hevea brasiliensis (rubber tree)
Lineage: Eukaryota; Viridiplantae; Streptophyta; Magnoliopsida; Malpighiales; Euphorbiaceae
Source: RNAcentral
GAACUCUCCCCUUUCUCACCUCCUUUCUGACCAACCUUAAAAUCAUUUGUAUUUCUCUUGUUCUUCCGAUCACCAUAAAGCUGGGUAAGCCAGUCUACAUCAUGGGGUUCAUCAUUACUAGAAGGUUCAAACUUCAGAAGCUCAGCUUCAGUAGGCAAUACACCCCAAUAGCUCAAUGAAUCAGUCCCCACUUUUUUGUAUAAAUAACCAUCCUUCAGCAUCUUUCCAUCAAGAAUUUCAAACAUUAGGUUUGUAUCCCGAUCUUUCCGGUACUGGAUUAGAGGCCGAAAGUCUUCGAGCUCUGUAGAGCUAAUUAGUCUUGGUGCUGGAAUAAUUCCUUUCUUGGCAGCAACUCCUCCCCCAAAUUUGUCAGCAAUGGCUUGUAAGUCUACUCUUGGAAUCAGCUUCACUGUCACUUUCUUCCGCGAAUCAUUCACUGCCACAACCUGUGCUAGAUCACCCUUGUAUAUUCCACUUUUGACACGUGCCCACAUGCCCUCAGAAAUCCCACUAGACUUCUUCCGGACAGCAAUCAAAUGAGAAACUUCGUUCAGUGGAACAGGUGCCACUCUAGUUGAAUAUAUACUACAAAGGCCUUUACAUGCCUCGUAAACAUCACAUUGUUUGUCAGACUCGAUAUAUAUAUAUCCCUUCACAUGAUCAAGUGCAAAAGCGGAUAUUAUCUGCAGCUUUGUUCCUAAAGCAAGCAAGUCUAUAUACUUUUGCAUAAGACAGAAAGCUGAGUGCCUUUCUCUUCCAACCGUGCAUUUAACUUUCCAUAUAGUUGGAUCCUUGAGAGAAGGCACAAGUGUAUCCUGCUCAGACUGUCUCUUCCUAUCAUCAGCAUCUUCUGCAUAGGUAACAAAACUAGAACCUGGUUUAUAGCGCUCCCUUAACAUCCGCUCUAGCUCUUCUCCAUCCAUCUCCUCCUCUUUGAUCACUGGGGGUUGGGGUGUUCUCGCAGGUUCAUUCUUGAUUUCAGCAUUACUUCCAAAUUCUUCUUCAAGCAAAUCUUGCUCGAAGAAGUCAGAGUCACUGAAGUCAAAAUCUGAGUCAUCGUCGUCGUCGUCAUCGACCUCGUAAGCAACGUCAUCGACGAACUGAAGAACACUGCGAUCUUUUCUUUUCCGACCACCGGUUUUAUCGUCAUUGAAAUCAUCGCUAGAAUUACGCUUACGUUUUCCGGCCGACGACGAAGCUUUGCCGUCAGUGACUUUUUCCUUACCCUUUUGUAAAACCGAUUUUCUCCCCAUUUUUGCUUCUACAGCAUCACAGAGAGAGUGUGAGAAAGAAAGU